ACCGCUUCAUCAAAGUUUUUUCUUCGAUGCUUUUCCGCUGUACAUGUUAGUUAUCUUUAGAACAUGGAUAUCAGCAUAAACUAAAUCCAGAAAAGUUUUUUUUAAAAAAGAGCUAGGCUACUUGAAAGUACGUAGGCUUCCUUGCUUGUAAAUUAUUUUCGAUAAUGGAACAUCCUAUUCGACGAUUGCUUCCGUUAGACAUGAUUUACAGUGUUUGAACUAUUUAAAAAUCAAAUUUCAUAAUUUUCUUGACUUUCUUUGCCUAGUAAAAAAGUAGCCUCAAAAUAAACGACCGAAAAUAAAAAUCCCAUAAAAACCGUGAUAAAAGACUUAAAUUUCAAAUCGAAAGUUUUGAUCUUGUUCUUCAUGGUAAGUAGAAUUUUUUAAUUAAAAUUUGAUCUAAUUUAGAUUAUUCUACACCAUUGAACUUACAAACAUACUACAGUUUUGAUCUUGUUCACCACUCCGGUCAGUGGGGAGCUCUGAUGAGCCCUUUCCCCUCUCUCUCUCUCUCUCUCUCUCUCUCUCUCUCAAUCCCUCUUAUGUUUCUCUCUUUUUUCCCCCUCUCAGUGGUUAUGGCUUCCCAAUCGCUUGCCGCCGACCGACGGACCUCUGGCGACCCCUCUCCAGUGCUACCUCGCCGCCCUGAGCUCCCCCGAGCUCAGCUCUAGACAUGAACCCAAAAGAUCUUGUUUAGGUCCAGGAGACAUCUAGCCAUGUUGUUCAGUCGUGGACUCAAGUAUUCGGUACAUAGGACAAGGAAACCGGGAAGGAGCUCCUCCAAUGCCGUGCACUGGGAAGACACUUUGCCCUCUCGACCUUCUAAUGUUGCUAGUGUCAGGAAUAAAAUGGCUACUUUGUUCGCUUAUAAAUUUAAUAAGAGAAAUCUCUGGCGUAAUAGGUUAGAUCAUCCCAGUCAUGAAGUUUUGUCUAAGUUCAUUAGAGACAAUAAAGUUUUAGGUGAUUCUGACAUUAGAUUAUAUCAUUGCAAAUUUGCAAUGCAUGUAACACAAGUAAACAUGUGAGAUUUCCUUAUAAUAAAUCUGAUUCUCGAUUGACUUUUCCUUUUGAUUUAGUUCAUUCUAAUGUUUGGCAAUCUCCGGUUGAUUCUAUUUUUGGGUUUAAAUAUUAUGUUAUU
Molecule: long non-coding RNA, 1138 nt
Organism: Ananas comosus (pineapple)
Lineage: Eukaryota; Viridiplantae; Streptophyta; Magnoliopsida; Poales; Bromeliaceae
Exons: 3
Source: RefSeq, a predicted model, not a curated record